Molecule: ribosomal RNA, 344 nt
Filed under: uncultured bacterium
Lineage: Bacteria
Description: bacterial SSU rRNA
Rfam family: Bacterial small subunit ribosomal RNA
Source: RNAcentral
GACGAACGUUGGCGGCGUGCCUAAUACAUGCAAGUCAACUGAAAUACCGGUAGCAAUACUGGUAUGGAGGUGGCGCACGGGUGAGUAACACGUAGGUAAUCUGCCUUCAGGUCUGACAUAACCCAUCGAAAGGUGAGCUAAUAUCAGAUGAUGCAGCGGCUUGACAUCAAGACAGUUGUUAAAGCUUCGGCGCCUGAAGAUGAGCCUGCGUCUGAUUAGCUAGUUGGCGGGGUAACGGCCCACCAAGGCUGCGAUCAGUAGCUGGUCUGAGAGGAUGAUCAGUCACACUGGAACUGAGACACGGUCCAGACUCCUACGGGAGCAGCAAGUAAGGAAUAUUGCUC